Molecule: transfer RNA, 95 nt
Filed under: Nonomuraea cavernae
Lineage: Bacteria; Bacillati; Actinomycetota; Actinomycetes; Streptosporangiales; Streptosporangiaceae
Description: tRNA-Gly
Source: RNAcentral
AGGCAGUUGGGAGACAGAGGAGGCUCUUCCGGCCCACCGUGUCGGGGCGUACGAGCACGAGUGCGGGUGGGCGUGGUCGUGGUGCGCACCGUCUU